CAGUAGCCGCGGUAAUACGUAGGUGGCAAGCGUUGUCCGGAAUUAUUGGGCGUAAAGGGCUCGCAGGCGGUUUCUUAAGUCUGAUGUGAAAGCCCCCGGCUCAACCGGGGAGGGUCAUUGGAAACUGGGAGACCUGAGUGCAGAAGAGGAGAGUGGAAUUCCACGUGUAGCGGUGAAAUGCGUAGAGAUGUGGAGGAACACCAGUGGCGAAGGCGACUCUCUGGUCUGUAACUGACGCUGAGGAGCGAAAGCGUGGGGAGCGAACAGGAUUAGAUACCCCCGUAGUCCCUGUCUCUUAUAC
RNAcentral lists this ribosomal RNA (301 nucleotides) under uncultured bacterium. RNAcentral's name for it is "partial 16S ribosomal RNA". It matches the Rfam family "Bacterial small subunit ribosomal RNA", at positions 509 to 807 of the family's 1533-position model. The record is from RNAcentral.